This 397-nucleotide ribosomal RNA is filed under the name uncultured bacterium. RNAcentral describes it as "partial 16S ribosomal RNA". It matches the Rfam family "Bacterial small subunit ribosomal RNA", at positions 523 to 918 of the family's 1533-position model. The record is from RNAcentral.
AUACGUAGGGGGCGAGCGUUGUCCGGAAUUAUUGGGCGUAAAGGGCGCGUAGGCGGCCCGGUAAGUCUGGAGUGAAAGUCCUGUUUUUAAGAUGGGAAUUGCUUUGGAUACUGUCGGGCUUGAGUGCAGGAGAGGUAAGUGGAAUUCCCAGUGUAGCGGUGAAAUGCGUAGAGAUUGGGAGGAACACCAGUGGCGAAGGCGAAUUACUGGACUGUAACUGACGCUGAGGCGCGAAAGUGUGGGGAGCAAACAGGAUUAGAUACCCUGGUAGUCCACACUGUAAACGAUGAAUGCUAGGUGUAGGGGGUAUCGACCCCUUCUGUGCCGCAGUCAACACAAUAAGCAUUCCGCCUGGGGAGUACGGCCGCAAGGUUGAAACUCGAAUGAAUUGACGGGG